This 432-nucleotide ribosomal RNA is filed under the name uncultured bacterium. RNAcentral describes it as "partial 16S ribosomal RNA". It matches the Rfam family "Bacterial small subunit ribosomal RNA", at positions 29 to 506 of the family's 1533-position model. The record is from RNAcentral.
AACGAACGCUGGCGGCAUGCCUAACACAUGCAAGUCGAACGAGACCUUCGGGUCUAGUGGCGCACGGGUGCGUAACACGUGGGAAUCUGCCCUUUGCUUCGGAAUAACAGUUAGAAAUGACUGCUAAUACCGGAUGAUGUCGAAAGACCAAAGAUUUAUCGGCAAAGGAUGAGCCCGCGUAGGAUUAGGUAGUUGGUGGGGUAAAGGCCUACCAAGCCGACGAUCCUUAGCUGGUCUGAGAGGAUGAUCAGCCACACUGGGACUGAGACACGGCCCAGACUCCUACGGGAGGCAGCAGUGGGGAAUAUUGGACAAUGGGCGAAAGCCUGAUCCAGCAAUGCCGCGUGAGUGAUGAAGGCCUUAGGGUUGUAAAGCUCUUUUACCAGGGAUGAUAAUGACAGUACCUGGAGAAUAAGCUCCGGCAAACUCCGU